RNAcentral lists this ribosomal RNA (163 nucleotides) under uncultured bacterium. Its description in RNAcentral is "partial 16S rRNA". It matches the Rfam family "Bacterial small subunit ribosomal RNA", at positions 355 to 510 of the family's 1533-position model. The record is from RNAcentral.
UAGGGAAUCUUCCACAAUGGGCGAAAGCCUGAUGGAGCAACGCCGCGUGUGUGAUGAAGGGUUUCGGCUCGUAAAACACUGUUGUAAGAGAAGAAUGACAUUGAGAGUAACUGUUCAAUGUGUGACGGUAUCUAACCAGAAAGGGACGGCUAACUACGUGCCA